UCCCAUAUCUCUUUUGCUGUAGGUUUGUUGUGAUAUUGAUCAAACAAAGUAUUAGACAUGGCAUUGCAAAUGUGUCCCUUACACACGUAGUCAUCUUGCUCCCACUUAUGUCGCACUCUGGUUUCCCCUAAUGUCUCAUCCUCACGUUCUUGAGGCUUUGGUGUUGUGAGAACAUAGACCACAUUGAGGCUUGUCAACAAGAAAUGCAACUUUUUCUACCAACGAAUAAAGUUGCCACCAUCAAACCACUCCAAUUUGACAAAAUCUACUGC
This 272-nucleotide long non-coding RNA is filed under the name Citrus maxima (pomelo). Its description in RNAcentral is "long non-coding RNA (CMAX_LNC000943)". Lineage: Eukaryota; Viridiplantae; Streptophyta; Magnoliopsida; Sapindales; Rutaceae. The record is from RNAcentral.